RNAcentral lists this ribosomal RNA (253 nucleotides) under uncultured bacterium. RNAcentral describes it as "partial 16S ribosomal RNA". It matches the Rfam family "Bacterial small subunit ribosomal RNA", at positions 524 to 776 of the family's 1533-position model. The record is from RNAcentral.
UACGUAGGGCGCAAGCGUUGUCCGGAAUUAUUGGGCGUAAAGAGCUCGUAGGCGGCCUGUUACGUCUGCUGUGAAAUCCCGGGGCUUAACCCCGGGCGUGCAGUGGAUACGGGCAGGCUGGAGGCAGGCAGGGGAGAACGGAAUUCCCGGUGUAGCGGUGAAAUGCGCAGAUAUCAGGAGGAACACCGGUGGCGAAGGCGGGUCUCUGGGCCGACACUGACGCUGAGGAGCGAAAGCGUGGGGAGCGAACAGG